CCUACGGGUGGCAGCAGUGGGGAAUCUUGCGCAAUGGGCGAAAGCCUGACGCAGCGACGCCGCGUGAGGGAUGAAGGUCUUCGGAUCGUAAACCUCUGUCAGCAGGGAAGAACGGUCACUGUGCUAAUCAGCCGUGAAUUGACGGUACCUGCAAAGGAAGCACCGGCUAACUCCGUGCCAGCAGCCGCGGUAAUACGGAGGGGGCGAGCGUUAAUCGGAAUUACUGGGCGUAAGGGGCGCGUAGGCGGGAUGUCAAGUCCAGGGUGAAAUCUCCGCGCUCAACGUGGACAGUGCCUGGGAAACUGGCAGACUGGGGUGUGUGGGAGGAUAGUGGAAUUCCAGGUGUAGGAGAGAAAUCCGUAGAAAUCGGGAGGAACAGCAGUGGGGAGGGCGACUAUCUGGCACAUGACUGACGCUGAGGAGCGAAAGCGUGGGGAGCAAACAGGAUUAGAUACCCCAGUAGUC
Molecule: ribosomal RNA, 465 nt
Filed under: uncultured bacterium
Lineage: Bacteria
Description: partial 16S ribosomal RNA
Rfam family: Bacterial small subunit ribosomal RNA
Source: RNAcentral